CAAUAGCGUAUAUUUAAGUUGUUGCAGUUAAAAAGCUCGUAGUUGGAUUUCGGUUAAGAGCGACCGGUCCGCCGUUUGGUGUGCACUGGUUGGUUUUAACUUCCUGUAGAGGACGUGCUCUGGGUUUAACGACCUGGACUCGGAGUCUACGUGGUUACUUUGAAAAAAUUAGAGUGUUCAAAGCGGACUUACGCUUGAAUAUUUCAGCAUGGAAUAACACUAUAGGACUCCUGUCCUAUUUCGUUGGUCUCGGGACGGGAGUAAUGAUUAAGAGGAACAGUUGGGGGCAUUCGUAUUUCAUUGUCAGAGGUGAAAUUCUUGGAUUUAUGAAAGACGAACUUCUGCGAAAGCAUUUGCCAAGGAUGUUUNCAUUA
Molecule: ribosomal RNA, 374 nt
Filed under: uncultured eukaryote
Lineage: Eukaryota
Description: partial 18S ribosomal RNA
Rfam family: Eukaryotic small subunit ribosomal RNA
Source: RNAcentral